CUCCUGAUAUAAAACAAUACAGCCAAAUUAUGGAAAGCAAGAAACAGGUGUCACUCAUAGCCUGCUAGUACUGGGCAGGGAUGUCUGCUACAAAUAUAAAUCUGUGAGUGCAGAAGAGCCUGGACAGUGCUACCAUCUAAUAGGUGUUCAGUGAUUGCAUAUUUGCUGAGUAUAUAAAUGGAAGACAAGAGUAUGAUCCCAUUUUCCAGAGGUGGAAACAGAGUCAGAAUGAUUAAAAAACUUGUCCAAGUCACAUAACUAGUGUAUUCAUCAGAUUCUUAAUAAUAAACAACAGAAAUCAACUUUGGAUGAUUUGAAAAAAAAAUAAAAAGGAAUGGCUACUGGAGAGUUCAUGGAAGGAAGACUCAGGCUUAGCAAAUGAGCUGGAAUAAGCAGGGGAAGAAGGCAGCUUUGACCGUGGGUGAAGGAAUUCGAGAAGCAGCCUGGUGAGGAUACUGCUGACAUCUGCUGAGUAGGGGACAUUGCAGAGUGUUCUGCUGUGGCCAUCACUGUCCCUGGGUGUCGGCACUUGCUAUUUCUGCUGCUGGCUUCAGCAACAUGACUUUGCCAUUGGCUUUCAUUGUCUGCAUCAUUAGUUUUUGGUUAAGUCUGCUUGGUUGUGACUUAGCUGCAAGGGAAUCUGGGAAACAAAGCCUGCGAGGACACAGUGCCCUUCUAAAUCUCUGGAGUCUAGCAAAGCCCAAGAUCAAGGUUCUGGCAGCUUUGGUAUCUGCUGAGGGCUGCUUUCUGCUUCCAGGGUGAUGCCUCAUUGCUGGGUCCCAUAUCAUGGAAAGGGAGGAAGAAACAAACUUAUGCCUUCAAGCCAGUAAUCCCAAUGGUCUCCUGAAGGCCCCGCCUCUUGACACUUCUGCACUGCGGGUUCAGCUCCAUCAUGAAUUUUGGAAGAGACACAAAUGUUGG
This 921-nucleotide long non-coding RNA is filed under the name Heterocephalus glaber (naked mole-rat). RNAcentral describes it as "lncRNA (ENSHGLG00100038404.1)". Lineage: Eukaryota; Metazoa; Chordata; Mammalia; Rodentia; Bathyergidae. The record is from RNAcentral.